Molecule: ribosomal RNA, 321 nt
Filed under: uncultured bacterium
Lineage: Bacteria
Description: bacterial SSU rRNA
Rfam family: Bacterial small subunit ribosomal RNA
Source: RNAcentral
GACGAACGCUGGCGGCGCGCCUAACACAUGCAAGUCGAACGGAGUUGUGUUGAAAGCUUGCUGGAUAUACAACUUAGUGGCGGACGGGUGAGUAACACGUAGAGUAACCUGCCUCGUCAGAGUGGAAUAACGUUUGGAAACGAACGCUAAUACCGCAUAACGUUGGAGAAGAGGGCAAUCCUACUUUUUACCAAAGAUUUAUCGCUGAGAGAUGGGCUCGCGGCCGAUUAGGUAGUUGGUGAGAUAACAGCCCACCAAGCCGACGAUCGGUAGCCGGACUGAGAGGUUGAUCGGCCACAUUGGGACUGAGACACGGCCCAG